AGCGAACGCUGGCGGCGUACUUAACACAUGCAAGUCGAACGAGGAGCUUCGGUGUAGCAAUACAUCGGAGCUUCUAGUGGCGUACGGGUGAGUAACACGUGGGCAGCCUGCCCUUGAGUCCGGGAUACCCUCUCGAAAGGGAGGCUAAUACUGGAUACGUUCUUCGGAUCGCGAGAUCUGGAGAGGAAAGGUGGCGAAAGCUGCCGCUCUUGGAGGGGCNCGCGGCCUAUCAGCUAGUUGGUGAGGUCACGGCUCACCAAGGCUAUGACGGGUAGCUGGUCUGAGAGGACGACCAGCCACACGGGAACUGAGACACGGUCCCGACUCCUACGGGAGGCAGCAGUGGGAAUUUUCCGCAAUGGCGAAAGCCUGACGGAGUGACGCCGCGUGGGGA
This 394-nucleotide ribosomal RNA is filed under the name uncultured bacterium. RNAcentral describes it as "bacterial SSU rRNA". It matches the Rfam family "Bacterial small subunit ribosomal RNA", at positions 29 to 407 of the family's 1533-position model. The record is from RNAcentral.